AACGAACGCUGGCGGCAGGCCUAACACAUGCAAGUCGAGCGCCCCGCAAGGGGAGCGGCGGACGGGUGAGUAACGCGUGGGAACGUACCCUUUGCUACGGAAUAGCCUCGGGAAACUGGGAGUAAUACCGUAUGUGCCCUUCGGGGGAAAGAUUUAUCGGCAAAGGAUCGGCCCGCGUUGGAUUAGGUAGUUGGUGGGGUAAUGGCCUACCAAGCCGACGAUCCAUAGCUGGUUUGAGAGGAUGAUCAGCCACACUGGGACUGAGACACGGCCCAGACUCCUACGGGAGGCAGCAGUGGGGAAUCUUAGACAAUGGGCGCAAGCCUGAUCUAGCCAUGCCGCGUGAGCGAUGAAGGCCUUAGGGUUGUAAAGCUCUUUCAGUGGGAAGAUAAUGACUGUACCCACAGAAGAAGCCCCGGCUAACUCCGUGCCAGCAGCCGCGGUAAAGUACAGUGU
Molecule: ribosomal RNA, 456 nt
Filed under: uncultured bacterium
Lineage: Bacteria
Description: bacterial SSU rRNA
Rfam family: Bacterial small subunit ribosomal RNA
Source: RNAcentral